UUGGAGGGCAAGUCUGGUGCCAGCAGCCGCGGUAAUUCCAGCUCCAAUAGCGUAUAUUAAAGUUGUUGCAGUUAAAAAGCUCGUAGUUGAAUUUCGGGAUCAAUAUGUCGGUCGUGCCAUUGGUACGUACUGGUAUCAUUGAUUUCUCCUUUCUGACGAACCAUGAUGUCAUUAAUUUGGUGUUAUGGGGAGUUAGGACUGUUACUUUGAAAAAAUUAGAGUGUUUAAAGCAGGCAUUAGCUUGAAUACAUUAGCAUGGAAUAAUGAAAUAGGACGUUUGACCCUAUUUUGUUGGUUUCUAGGAUCGACGUAAUGAUUAAUAGGGAUAGUUGGGGGCAUUAGUAUUCAAUUGUCAGAGGUGAAAUUCUUGGAUUUAUUGAAGACUAACUACUGCGAAAGCAUUUGCCAAGGAUGUUUCCAUUAAUCAAGAACGAAAGUUAGGGGAUCGAAGACGAUCAGAUACCGUCGUAGUCUUAACCAUAAACUAUGCCGACUAGGGAUCGGAUGAUGUUAAUUUUUUAAUGACUCAUUCGGCGCCUUACGGGAAAC
Molecule: ribosomal RNA, 549 nt
Filed under: uncultured Glomeromycotina
Lineage: Eukaryota; Fungi; Glomeromycota
Description: SSU rRNA
Rfam family: Eukaryotic small subunit ribosomal RNA
Source: RNAcentral